This 253-nucleotide ribosomal RNA is filed under the name uncultured bacterium. RNAcentral's name for it is "partial 16S ribosomal RNA". It matches the Rfam family "Bacterial small subunit ribosomal RNA", at positions 524 to 776 of the family's 1533-position model. The record is from RNAcentral.
UACGUAGGGUGCGAGCGUUAAUCGGAAUUACUGGGCGUAAAGCGUGCGCAGGCGGUUUCGUAAGACAGGUGUGAAAGCCCCGGGCUCAACCUGGGAAUUGCGCUUGUGACUGCGAGGCUGGAGUGCGGCAGAGGGAGGUGGAAUUCCACGUGUAGCAGUGAAAUGCGUAGAGAUGUGGAGGAACACCGAUGGCGAAGGCAGCCUCCUGGGCUAGCACUGACGCUCAUGCACGAAAGCGUGGGGAGCAAACAGG